AAAAUGUCCUGUACCAAGUCAGGAAUAUGGCCAUUGUUAUAUUAUAGUUCGUUUCUGUGUGUGUUACAAUUUAACGUUGCGUCGUUUGUUUUCUCUUAUUUUUGAGUGUAAAUUAACAUUGCGAUAAGACGUGUCACGGUACUUGUCUAUCCCAAAUUCAUGUAUUUGGUUUUGAUGUUAUAUUUGUUAUUCUCGUGAUAUUUUUUCUGAUGCUUGGUCCGUUUCUGUGUGUGUUAGUUACAUUGUAGUAUUGUGUCGUUGUUCUCCUCUUAUAUUUAUGCGUUUCCCUCAGUUUUAAUUUGUUACCCCGAUUUUGUUUUUUGUCCAUGGAUUUAUGAGUUUGAACAGCGGUAUACUACUGUUGCCUUUAUU
RNAcentral lists this long non-coding RNA (372 nucleotides) under Mytilus galloprovincialis (Mediterranean mussel). Lineage: Eukaryota; Metazoa; Mollusca; Bivalvia; Mytilida; Mytilidae. The record is from RNAcentral.